CCUGGUGGCUCAGACGGUAAAGCGUCUGCCUGCAAUGCAGGAGACCCUGGUUUGAUUCCUGGGUCAGGA
RNAcentral lists this transfer RNA (69 nucleotides) under Bos taurus (domestic cattle). It matches the Rfam family "tRNA". Rfam says of the family: Transfer RNA (tRNA) molecules are approximately 80 nucleotides in length. The record is from Rfam by way of RNAcentral. RNAcentral also lists the same sequence under 2 other names. Lineage: Eukaryota; Metazoa; Chordata; Mammalia; Artiodactyla; Bovidae.